This 496-nucleotide ribosomal RNA is filed under the name uncultured bacterium. Its description in RNAcentral is "partial 16S ribosomal RNA". It matches the Rfam family "Bacterial small subunit ribosomal RNA", at positions 29 to 507 of the family's 1533-position model. The record is from RNAcentral.
AUGCACGCUGGCGGCGUGCCUCAUACAUGCACGUCGAGCGAACAGACGAGGAGCUUGCUCCUCUGACGUUAGCGGCGGACGGGUGAGUAACACGUGGAUAACCUACCUAUAAGACUGGGAUAACUUCGGGAAACCGGAGCUAAUACCGGAUAAUAUAUUGAACCGCAUGGUUCAAUAGUGAAAGACGGUUUUGCUGUCACUUAUAGAUGGAUCCGCGCCGCAUUAGCUAGUUGGUAAGGUAACGGCUUACCAAGGCAACGAUGCGUAGCCGACCUGAGAGGGUGAUCGGCCACACUGGAACUGAGACACGGUCCAGACUCCUACGGGAGGCAGCAGUAGGGAAUCUUCCGCAAUGGGCGAAAGCCUGACGGAGCAACGCCGCGUGAGUGAUGAAGGUCUUCGGAUCGUAAAACUCUGUUAUUAGGGAAGAACAAAUGUGUAAGUAACUAUGCACGUCUUGACGGUACCUAAUCAGAAAGCCACGGCUAACUACGUG